CCUGGCGGCACUAGCGCGGUGGUCCCACCUGACCCCAUGCCGAACUCAGAAGUGAAACGCCGUAGCGCCGAUGGUAGUAUGGGGUCUCCCCAUGCGAGAGUAGGGAACUGCCAGGC
Molecule: ribosomal RNA, 116 nt
Filed under: Salmonella enterica subsp. enterica serovar Infantis
Lineage: Bacteria; Pseudomonadati; Pseudomonadota; Gammaproteobacteria; Enterobacterales; Enterobacteriaceae
Also listed under: 6 other names
Source: RNAcentral